UGCCAGCAGCCGCGGUAAUACGUAGGUGUCGAGCGUUGUCCGGAUUUAUUGGGCGUAAAGCGCCCGCAGGCGGCUUGCCAAGUUCGAAGUGAAAUCUCCCGGCUUAACUGGGAGGGUGCUCCGAAAACUGGCAGGCUUGAGUCAUGGAGAGGGAUGUGGAAUUCCCGGUGUAGUGGUGAAAUGCGUAGAUAUCGGGAGGAACACCAGUGGCGAAGGCGGCAUCCUGGCCAUGUACUGACGCUCAGGGGCGAAAGCGUGGGGAGCAAACCGGAUUAGAUACCCGGGUAGUCCACGCCGUAAACGAUGAGUACUAGGUGUAGGGGGUAUCGACCCCCUCUGUGCCGAAGCUAACGCGAUAAGUACUCCGCCUGGGGACUACGGCCGCAAGGCUAAAACUCAAAGGAAUUGACGGGGGCCCGCACA
RNAcentral lists this ribosomal RNA (423 nucleotides) under uncultured bacterium. RNAcentral's name for it is "bacterial SSU rRNA". It matches the Rfam family "Bacterial small subunit ribosomal RNA", at positions 506 to 927 of the family's 1533-position model. The record is from RNAcentral.